GCUUGUCCCGUGUGAAGCCGCCUGCUCUCCACACCCCUUUGCCAGACAUGCAUGUCCUUAGAAAACCUUAAAUGGAAAAACAGCAACUGGAGAUUUCUCCUUUAUAAAGAAAGAAAGCCUUGCGGUGGAACAUCUGUUUGAUGUGAAGGAUGAACGCAGCACGUAGGGAUUCCGCAGGAAUGGGAAAACCGUCACCAUGAGUUUGGCAUCUCAUUGGUCAUAGAUCUUCCCCAGUGUUUUGUGACUGACAAGAUGCAGGUACUACGGCACUCCGAGCACACACUGAAAACAGCUCUCCUCUCAAAGAACCCAGACCUCGUGUCCCAUCAGACUGGAUCUCCUCCCACCCCGAGGCUCCCCAAGACUUCGAGCAGUUUUUCUCUGACCGCUACAGGAAGGCACCCUGCCCGAAGAAACACAUUAUCUACAUUCAGCCCAUUGGCUUUCUAGGCAACACCAGAGUUAUCAGUGAGGAGUAUAUUAAAUGGCUCAAGGGCUACUGCGAAGCCUUUUUCUACGGUUUGAAGGUGAAGUUCUUAGAACCGGUUUCUGUCUCUGCGACUAAGUGCUCCUUUAGAGUGAACGAGAACACACAGAACCUGCAGAUCCACACAG
This 615-nucleotide long non-coding RNA is filed under the name Rattus norvegicus (Norway rat). RNAcentral describes it as "long non-coding RNA NONRATT005014". Lineage: Eukaryota; Metazoa; Chordata; Mammalia; Rodentia; Muridae. The record is from RNAcentral.